CCCUGCCAGCUUGCUGCCGUCUGUUUGAAUUCCGGCGGCAGCAGCAAGGCCUCAGCGGCGCAGCGCGGCUCCUUUUGUGGCGCACGUGGCCUCGGGAGGCUUUGUCUCGGCUGGGCCAGGUGCUCAGCGCCGAGCCUCUCCAGCCUCAUCGGGAGAUCCAGAAGUCAGCAGCGCGGGAUCGGCAGCGAGGCGGGGCUCAGCGAGGCUUGGUGGCAUCUGCGGCAUCGGGGCUUACAGCAGCAAGGCUAGGGCCCUUGCGAGGCCCUGCGGUUUCGGCAGCGGCAGCAGCAGCGGAUCCCAGGAAGCCUCGGUGGAGGCCUGUGGCGCAGCUGGGGUCUCGUGCUGGAAGAGGACCUAUUGGCAGCGGCAACCCCUUCCAGGCCCGGCGCCUCUGCGGCAGCGCGGGAUCGGGGCCAACGGCAGCGAGGACCACAGGCUAGGCGGCCUUUGCAAGACUGGACGCACUGGAGGCCGGGCCCAGGGUGGAGGCAAGGACGCCUAGCAUGGAGACAGAAGCAGCGCCCACCUUGCAAGCAGCCCCGACAAUGCAGCCCACACAGGGACCUUCAGCAGACAGCACUCAGGACCGCUGGACAAGAUCGGAGCAGCCACGCAUCCUCCUCUGCGGCCACAGCAUGGUUUUCUGGGCCGGCCGCAGGGCGGUGAAAUCUCGCUUCGGCACGCAACUGGGGCUCAGUCAAUGUGCCUCGGUGCGGUGGCUGGGACGUCGGGGGAUGCGUUGGAAAGAUGCUUGUUCCUGCCGUUUAGACCCGGGCCCUAACACUCAUGAGAGCUGUUUCUGUGCCCUUCCAGACAUAAUGGAACAUCUGUGUGUUGAUGGUGCCUUAUCCAGGCCCAUUCCUCAGUUCUCACUGAAAUAUCUUCCAUCAAACUUUAUGUGUGCCUGAUGAUUUGAAAUAUGUACCUCAUGAUUUUUUGUCAUGUAGGCAUAUAAAAAAUACUACAUUUAUAAUUUACCAGUCCAUUAUUUGGAACAAAUUGUGACUUUAAUCUCAUUUUUCUCUUCAUUUGAGUCCCCCAAUCCCAUUUUUCUCUUCAUUGCAACAACCCUUUACUUUGCACAAAGACGGCUCUGUUCCAUGUGGUCUCUAAGGGAACAAAUGCAGAUUGGCAGAGAAUACAUUAACACAGAAAAUGUUUAACUAGAGGGUAUAGUAUUGUACUUACAACUUAUAAACAUGAGCCAAAAGCACAGUGUAUAGAACGUGUUGAAUGUAUAGCUUAUAUAUGUAUAUAUUUUGGAUGUUUCCCUUUGUCAGCUCUGUUGGCAGGGAUCUGUU
Molecule: long non-coding RNA, 1301 nt
Organism: Rhineura floridana
Lineage: Eukaryota; Metazoa; Chordata; Lepidosauria; Squamata; Rhineuridae
Exons: 3
Source: RefSeq, a predicted model, not a curated record